RNAcentral lists this ribosomal RNA (468 nucleotides) under uncultured bacterium. RNAcentral's name for it is "partial 16S ribosomal RNA". It matches the Rfam family "Bacterial small subunit ribosomal RNA", at positions 28 to 507 of the family's 1533-position model. The record is from RNAcentral.
GACGAACGCUGGCGGCGUGCUUAACACAUGCCAGUCGAACGGAAAGGCCCUGCUUUUGUGGGGUGCUCGAGUGGCGAACGGGUGAGUAACACGUGAGUAACCUGCCCUUGACUUUGGGAUAACUUCAGGAAACUGGGGCUAAUACCGGAUAGGAGCUCCUGCUGCAGGGUGGGGGUUGGAAAGUUUCGGCGGUUGGGGAUGGACUCGCGGCUUAUCAGCUUGUUGGUGGGGUAGUGGCUUACCAAGGCUUUGACGGGUAGCCGGCCUGAGAGGGUGACCGGCCACAUUGGGACUGAGAUACGGCCCAGACUCCUACGGGAGGCAGCAGUGGGGAAUAUUGCACAAUGGGCGGAAGCCUGAUGCAGCAACGCCGCGUGCGGGAUGACGGCCUUCGGGUUGUAAACCGCUUUCGCCUGUGACGAAGCGUGAGUGACGGUAAUGGGUAAAGAAGCACCGGCUAACUACGUG